AUUGAACGCUGGCGGCAUGCUUUACACGUGCAAGUCGAACGGUAACAGGCCGCAAGGUGCUGACGAGUGGCGAACGGGUGAGUAAUGCAUCGGAACGUGCCCAGUCGUGGGGGAUAACGCAGCGAAAGCUGUGCUAAUACCGCAUACGAUCUAUGGAUGAAAGCGGGGGACCGUAAGGCCUCGCGCGAUUGGAGCGGCCGAUGUCGGAUUAGGUAGUUGGUGGGGUAAAGGAUAACCAAGCCAACGAUCUGUAGCUGGUCUGAAAGGACGACCGGCCUCACUGGGACUGAGGAACGGCCUGGAAUACUAUGGGAGGAAGGAGUGGGGAAUUUUGUACAAUGGGCGCAAGCCUGAUCCAGCAAUGGCGCGUGCAGGAAGAAGGCCUUCGGGUUGUAAACUGCUUUUGUACGGAACGAAAAGGUUUGGGUUAAUACCCUGGGCCGAUGACGGUACCGUAAGAAUAAGCACCGGCUAACUACGUGCCAGCCGCCGCCGUAA
RNAcentral lists this ribosomal RNA (498 nucleotides) under uncultured bacterium. Its description in RNAcentral is "partial 16S ribosomal RNA". It matches the Rfam family "Bacterial small subunit ribosomal RNA", at positions 30 to 523 of the family's 1533-position model. The record is from RNAcentral.